This is a long non-coding RNA of Helianthus annuus (common sunflower), 1511 nucleotides long. RefSeq lists it as uncharacterized. NCBI's taxonomy places the organism in Eukaryota, Viridiplantae, Streptophyta, Magnoliopsida, Asterales, Asteraceae. The transcript is spliced from 4 exons. The record is from RefSeq and is a predicted model, not a curated record.
UUUGUUGCCCACUACCUCCACAACUCGACCGCCUAAAAUAUUACCUUUAACCAUUUUGGGUAUUACAUAUUCUAAUGUUCUCAUUAAAUAUAACUGACUACUAAACUCACAUUUUUAACUGCUCUUAAGGUAGUUUCUAGCGGUUCCAUACAUUAAGGACGGUUUCUUGUAGUUAUUCCCCACUCUGGCUGCGAUUCUUGGCCCCCAUUUGGUUUCCUCGCCCAUAAAACUAUUAAACUAACUAGCCUCCAAAAAAACUGGGUGAAGCCUGAUUUUGCUCUACACGUUGGUGAAAUGUGAUCUAAAAUUCCAAAGCGGCUUUCACCAUCAUUCUUCCAUAACACAAACCAUUACUUCUUCUCAUCUUAAAUAAAUAUCCUAGCCGCCAUCACCAACACUUGAAAUCAACUAGAAGAUACGGUUCCGUUUCUUUUUUGUUUUUGUUUUUGUUUCUGUUUAAUUUGAUUCCGUGCGUGAUUGAUUGGAAUUUAGUGUUUUGUGUUCUGUUUGCUCAAGAAUUGAGGCUGUUGGAUUUUUAAUCCGCUUAAUUUAGGGGUUGGUAGGGGUUGUGUUGGAAAUUCGGGAUUAAAUUGUGUUUCUAUUUUUAUGGCUCAUCUAAUGCAUAUUGUUGUUUUGAUGAUAUCUUUAUAUUUUCGAUACCGAUUUACGGUUUUGCGGCUGAAUUUCUUAAGUUACAGUUUGCUUGGUAUGUCUCUGUUUUGAAUUUGUUGGCCAUUGUGGAAAUUGAUGGGAUGUGUAUAGAAUUUAGGUAUGUUAUAUAACUUGCAUUAUGCCUGUUAUAGUUCCAGUCAUGUUCUUGGGCUUCCAGGGCUUUCUGAAUCAUAACAAGUCGUCUGUGAUGCUGCCAAGAUCCAUGGCGUUUUCUAUCUUCAAUUCAAUUCAGCCAGUGCAAGAAUUUGUUUCAUUUGUGAGAUGAAUGCUACUGAGCAUCCCGUUGCCGUCGUCGAUGAAGAUGUUCAAUCUAUUGUUAUCGCCGGAUUGGUGGGAAGAAAUUAAUGAAUCGAAGAACUGGAAGAUUGGCGAAUUCUGUACAAUUGGCCUCACUCCUCACUGUUGACUUUUGUGGAUUCUCUCAAGGCUUUUGAGGGAGGUAUUGUGUGUGUCAACUGUUCACAUCCAUGCUUCUCUCAAGCUCCAUGGGGUGGGAAAAAGCAUAGCGAUUUUGGCUGUGAACUUGAGAAUGGGAACUUGAGAAUUACUUAAGCGUGAAGAAGUGGGAUUGGUAUACACCUCCAUCUUCUAAGACCAUGGGGUAUGGUGGGGCGGGGGUUUGGGGCAUGAGUUAACACGUGGAGUUCGAGCCCCCCCGCUGGUGAGUGACGUGUCCGUGGGGUAUGGUGGGGCGUGGCUAGCCCGGCGUGGCCAAUGGUUGUAUUUUAAAAUUUAAACAUGGUCCGCUAUGCCCUAGCCAACAAGACAAUAAGAGCCGGUCACAUAGGAUCACUAGCAUGCCCCACGCCCCCUUAAACUCCCGCCCAAGGGGCCACGCC